Molecule: ribosomal RNA, 465 nt
Filed under: Vreelandella stevensii
Lineage: Bacteria; Pseudomonadati; Pseudomonadota; Gammaproteobacteria; Oceanospirillales; Halomonadaceae
Description: partial 16S ribosomal RNA
Rfam family: Bacterial small subunit ribosomal RNA
Source: RNAcentral
CCUACGGGAGGCUGCAGUGGGGAAUAUUGGACAAUGGGGGGAACCCUGAUCCAGCCAUGCCGCGUGUGUGAAGAAGGCCCUCGGGUUGUAAAGCACUUUCAGUGAGGAAGAACGCCUGGUGGUUAAUACCCAUCAGGAAAGACAUCACUCACAGAAGAAGCACCGGCUAACUCCGUGCCAGCAGCCGCGGUAAUACGGAGGGUGCGAGCGUUAAUCGGAAUUACUGGGCGUAAAGCGCGCGUAGGUGGCUUGAUAAGCCGGUUGUGAAAGCCCCGGGCUCAACCUGGGAACGGCAUCCGGAACUGUCAAGCUAGAGUGCAGGAGAGGAAUGUAGAAUUCCCGGUGUAGCGGUGAAAUGCGUAGAGAUCGGGAGGAAUACCAGUGGCGAAGGCGGCCUUCUGGACUGACACUGACACUGAGGUGCGAAAGCGUGGGUAGCAAACAGGAUUAGAUACCCGGGUAGUC